AUUGAACGCUGGCGGCAGGCCUAACACAUGCAAGUCGAGCGGAUGAAGGGAGCUUGCUCCUGGAUUCAGCGGCGGACGGGUGAGUAAUGCCUAGGAAUCUGCCUGGUAGUGGGGGAUAACGUCCGGAAACGGGCGCUAAUACCGCAUACGUCCUGAGGGAGAAAGUGGGGGAUCUUCGGACCUCACGCUAUCAGAUGAGCCUAGGUCGGAUUAGCUAGUUGGUGGGUAAAGGCCUACCAAGGCGACGAUCCGUAACUGGUCUGAGAGGAUGAUCAGUCACACUGAAACUGAGACACGGUCCAGACUCCUACGGGAGGCAGCAGUGGGGAAUAUUGGACAAUGGGCGAAAGCCUGAUCCAGCCAUGCCGCGUGUGUGAAGAAGGUCUUCGGAUUGUAAAGCACUUUAAGUUGGGAGGAAGGGCAGUAAGUUAAUACCUUGCUGUUUUGACGUUACCAACAGAAUAAGCACCGGCUAACUUCGUG
This 483-nucleotide ribosomal RNA is filed under the name uncultured bacterium. RNAcentral describes it as "partial 16S ribosomal RNA". It matches the Rfam family "Bacterial small subunit ribosomal RNA", at positions 30 to 507 of the family's 1533-position model. The record is from RNAcentral.